Molecule: ribosomal RNA, 455 nt
Filed under: uncultured bacterium
Lineage: Bacteria
Description: bacterial SSU rRNA
Rfam family: Bacterial small subunit ribosomal RNA
Source: RNAcentral
GACGAACGUUGGCGGCGUGCUUAAUACAUGCAAGUCAACUGAAGCACCGGUAGUAAUACUGGUGUGGAGGUGGCGCACGGGUGAGUAACACGUAGGUAAUCUGCCUUCAGGUCUGACAUAACCCCGAGAAAUCGGGGCUAAUAGCAGAUGAUGCAGCGGCUUGACAUCAAAGACAGUUGUUAAAGCUUCGGCGCCUGAAGAUGAGCCUGCGUCUGAUUAGCUAGUUGGCGGAGUAAUGGCCCACCAAGGCUACGAUCAGUAACUGGUCUGAGAGGAUGAUCAGUCACACUGGAACUGAGACACGGUCCAGACUCCUACGGGAGGCAGCAGUAAGGAUAUUGCUCAAUGGGAGAAAUCCUGAAGCAGCAACGCCGCGUGAGGGAUGAAGGGCUUUUAGCUCGUAAACCUCUGUAGUGAGGGAAAAAUUUCCACUCUGUGGAAUAUGAUGGUACCUC